CAGGGAAUAGUUUAAGUGAGAAUAUCAGCUUUGGGAGUUGAAGGUGGAAGGCUCAAUUUCUUCCCUGA
Molecule: transfer RNA, 68 nt
Filed under: Spermophilus alashanicus (Alashan ground squirrel)
Lineage: Eukaryota; Metazoa; Chordata; Mammalia; Rodentia; Sciuridae
Description: tRNA-Pro
Rfam family: tRNA
About the family: Transfer RNA (tRNA) molecules are approximately 80 nucleotides in length. Their secondary structure includes four short double-helical elements and three loops (D, anti-codon, and T loops).
Source: RNAcentral